This 208-nucleotide ribosomal RNA is filed under the name uncultured bacterium. RNAcentral describes it as "partial 16S ribosomal RNA". It matches the Rfam family "Bacterial small subunit ribosomal RNA", at positions 568 to 774 of the family's 1533-position model. The record is from RNAcentral.
CUCGUAGGCGGUUCGGUAAGUCGGGUGUGAAAACUUUGGGCUCAACCCAAAGCCUGCAUCCGAUACUGCUGUGACUUGAGUCCGGUAGGGGAGUGGGGAAUUCCUGGUGUAGCGGUGGAAUGCGCAGAUAUCAGGAGGAACACCGGUGGCGAAGGCGCCACUCUGGGCCGGUACUGACGCUGAGGAGCGAAAGCGUGGGGAGCGAACA